GACGAACGCUGGCGGCGUGCCUAACACAUGCAAGUCGAACGGAACUGUUUUGAAAGAUUUCUUCGGAAUGAAUUUGAUUUAGUUUAGUGGCGGACGGGUGAGUAACGCGUGAGUAACCUGCCUUCAAGAGGGGGAUAACAUUCUGAAAAGAAUGCUAAUACCGCAUGACAUAUCGGAAUCACAUGAUUUUGAUAUCAAAGAUUUUAUCGCUUGAAGAUGGACUCGCGUCCGAUUAGUUAGUUGGUGAGGUAACGGCUCACCAAGACCGCGAUCGGUAGCCGGACUGAGAGGUUGAACGGCCACAUUGGGACUGAGACACGGCCCAGACUCCUACGGGAGGCAGCAGUGGGGGAUAUUGCGCAAUGGGGGCAACCCUGACGCAGCAACGCCGCGUGAAGGAUGAAGGUUUUCGGAUUGUAAACUUCUUUUAUUAAGGACGAAACUUGA
This 447-nucleotide ribosomal RNA is filed under the name uncultured bacterium. RNAcentral describes it as "bacterial SSU rRNA". It matches the Rfam family "Bacterial small subunit ribosomal RNA", at positions 28 to 455 of the family's 1533-position model. The record is from RNAcentral.